CGGAGGGUGAGUAGAGUAGCAGACGGGUGAGUAAUGCAUAGGUAAUCUACCUUUAAGUGGGGGACAACUUAUCGAAAGGUGAGCCAAUCCCGCAUAUCAUCACUAUACACAAGUAUUGUGAAAAAAGAGGGGGCUCCUGCGGGACCUCUUGCUUGAAGACGAGCUUAUGUCCUAUUAGCUUGUUGGUGGGGUAAUGGCCCACCAAGGCUUUGAUGGGUAGCCGAGCUGAGAGGCUGAUCGGCCACACUGGAACUGGAACACGGUCCAGACUCCUACGGGAGGCAGCAGUGGGGAAUUUUGCGCAAUGGGCGAAAGCCUGACGCAGCGACGCCGCGUGAGGGAUGAAGGUUCUCGUAAUCGUAAACCUCUGUCAGGAAGGAUUAAAUGUAUGAAUGCUAAUACCAUUUGUAUUUGACUUAACUUCCAGAGGAAGCCCCGGCUAAAUACGUGCCAGCAGCCGCGGUAAUACGUAUGGGGCAAGCGUUACUCGGAUUUAUUGGGCGUAAAGCGAGUGUAGGCGGUCAAAUAAGUCAAUGGUGAAAUCCCUCAGCUUAACUGAGGAAUUGCCUUUGAUACUGUUUGACUUGAGGACAGGAGAGGAAAGUGGAACUCCCGGUGUAGCGGUGGAAUGCGUAGAUAUCGGGAAGAACACCAGAGGCGAAGGCGGCUUUCUGGACUGUUUCUGACGCUGAGACUCGAAAGCUAGGGGAGCAAACAGGAUUAGAUACCCUGGUAGUCCUAGCUGUAAACGAUGGAUACUAGAUUUUGCAAGUUUUUGCUAGAUCGAAGCUAACGCAUUAAGUAUCCCGCCUGGGGAGUACGGUCGCAAGGCUAAAACUCAAAGGAAUUGACGG
Molecule: ribosomal RNA, 854 nt
Filed under: uncultured bacterium
Lineage: Bacteria
Description: bacterial SSU rRNA
Rfam family: Bacterial small subunit ribosomal RNA
Source: RNAcentral